RNAcentral lists this transfer RNA (72 nucleotides) under Camelus bactrianus (Bactrian camel). It matches the Rfam family "tRNA". Rfam says of the family: Transfer RNA (tRNA) molecules are approximately 80 nucleotides in length. Their secondary structure includes four short double-helical elements and three loops (D, anti-codon, and T loops). RNAcentral also lists the same sequence under 1 other name. Lineage: Eukaryota; Metazoa; Chordata; Mammalia; Artiodactyla; Camelidae. The record is from Rfam by way of RNAcentral.
GAGGGUAUAGCUCAGUGGUGGAGCGCAUGCUUAGCAUGCACGAGGUCCUGGGUUCAGUCCCCAGUACCACCA